GCCGCAGCGCCCGCGCGCGGCCCCACGCCGGCAGCGCCCGCCCUCGGCUCGCUGCGGCCCCCGCACACCAACACGGCCGACCUUGUCUCCUGGUCGGCCACGGGCCGUGGCGCAUCUGCCUCGCCGGUUUGUUGUGAAUUGAUUGUUCUUCUGUUUCCGUGCUAUGCGGCUGACUUGGGGGUGAUGAUGUGUGAGCAGCCGGCCGCGGGGAUUAUGCCGGCGGCGCGCCGGUCACGGAGCAGGAGGCCAUGGAUUCUGAGCAAGAGAUGGCGCUUUCUUGCAACCCUGCUCCACCUGGGAUUAUGGUAGCUUCUGUUGCUACCAAACUGACAUGCUAAAGAAUGACAAUGAGAAUGACAAGAGAGGGGCGUCGCUAUAUGGAAUGUUGUUUAUGUUAAGAGCAUGUUUUUUACUCACUCCAUCUGCAAGCCUCAAGUAACCCUUCAUUGACCAACUAUUUCUACUGUUUAUUGGUUUAUGUUAAGAGGACGUUUUUUACGCACUCCAUCUGCAAGCCUCAAGUAACCCUUCAUAAUUAGGGAGCUUGUUUCAGGAUUGGUUAAUAGUGUGGUAUGGAGGAUGUCUCUGUAAAGUGAAAAGCCUCAGUAAUGUUUAGGGGUAGCUACAGCUCUUUUUGUUAGCUUGAUAUGAAUAUUCAAGAUGUUGAAAUGGCUAUGUUCUUUGUCAUUUGGACAUGUGACUUAGAUGUAGCGUGAUGUAUAUGGCUACCUGGAUGUAUGAGUUUGACAAUAUAAUUUUUUGCAACCUGGGAUUUUGUCAAGAUUGUGUAAUUGUUGAGUGAGUGGGCUUAAAAACAAUUGCGGGCUCUA
Molecule: long non-coding RNA, 830 nt
Organism: Sorghum bicolor (sorghum)
Lineage: Eukaryota; Viridiplantae; Streptophyta; Magnoliopsida; Poales; Poaceae
Exons: 4
Source: RefSeq, a predicted model, not a curated record